RNAcentral lists this long non-coding RNA (413 nucleotides) under Equus caballus (horse). RNAcentral describes it as "lncRNA (ENSECAG00000047003.1)". The record is from RNAcentral. Lineage: Eukaryota; Metazoa; Chordata; Mammalia; Perissodactyla; Equidae.
GCCACAGAUGAGGAGACAGGCUCAGAGGCAUCAAAUGACUUGCCAUGAGGGUGGUGCAAAGUACGUGGACCAACAAGUAAGAUGACAAGUGUGAACAGACAAUGCCUGCAGUUGCUUUUGCUACCUGAAGACCAUGAGGGAACCCACUGACGGUCCAAGGAGAAAAUGGGACUGUUGAAGCCUGGAGAAAACCUUGGCUGCAAGAGCACUAUGGGGUGUGAAUUGAAUGUCCAAGAGUUCCUCCACCAAGACACUGACUUAUUCCUGCCUCAGAUCCCCUGCUUCUCAAGGAUUUUCUAGGAUUUCAAAAAUAUGGCUGUACUUCCUUUCUGUUUCAGAAAAAAUCUGUCUUCAUUGUGUAAGUCCUUCUAAAGCGACAGGAAAUCAGACAUUAAGAAACUGAUGGUUUGAAC